GACGAACGCUGGCGGCGUGCUUAACACAUGCAAGUCGAACGGAAAGGCCCCCACCAUUUUUGGUGGGGGUGCUCGAGUGGCGAACGGGUGAGUAACACGUGGGUGAUCUGCCCUGUACUUCGGGAUAAGCUUGGGAAACUGGGUCUAAUACCGGAUAGGACCAUGGUUUAGUGUCUCAUGGUGGAAAAAUUAUUGUUUUGGUGCAGGAUGAGCUCGCGGCCUAUCAGCUUGUUGCUGGGGUAAUGGCCUACCAAGGCGUCGACGGGUAGCCGGCCUGAGAGGGUGGACGGCCACAUUGGGACUGAGAUACGGCCCAGACUCCUACGGGAGGCAGCAGUGGGGAAUAUUGCACAAUGGGCGCAAGCCUGAUGCAGCGACGCCGCGUGGGGGAUGACGGCCUUCGGGUUGUAAACUCCUUUCGUUAGGGACGAAGCCACACCUUUUU
Molecule: ribosomal RNA, 445 nt
Filed under: Corynebacterium matruchotii
Lineage: Bacteria; Bacillati; Actinomycetota; Actinomycetes; Mycobacteriales; Corynebacteriaceae
Description: bacterial SSU rRNA
Rfam family: Bacterial small subunit ribosomal RNA
Source: RNAcentral